This is a long non-coding RNA of Neofelis nebulosa (Clouded leopard), 669 nucleotides long. RefSeq lists it as uncharacterized. The transcript is spliced from 3 exons. The record is from RefSeq and is a predicted model, not a curated record. NCBI's taxonomy places the organism in Eukaryota, Metazoa, Chordata, Mammalia, Carnivora, Felidae.
UAACAAAUCCUUGUGUCCUCAUCACCAGCUGCAACGACGAUUACCUUGUGGUCAGACGCGGUGUCACUCCCUCCCACCCACAGGGCACCAUUCCUUUGGACGGUGUGGAUGGAGGGGCCGCAAUCCCCCGUGUGGGCAAGCACUGGAGGGACACUGCAGGCAGAGGGGGAACGCAGCGUCCGCGGGCGCCAAGCAGGGCUUCGUGCUGAUGCAUCAAAUUCGAGCUGGACCAGUGGGGCGAGACGCUGUGUCCACCGCGCACGUUGGCUCUGGAGCCAUAUUUCGCCCAUGUGACUUGUCACUGUUUAUGGAACUAGAAGUCUCUCGAGGCAAGCCUUCCGCAGCGCCCAGGACGCGAGAGCAGGCCCUUUGAGAGCUGGGAGUGAGGCGGAUACUUAAUGUGUCCUGAAGUUUUUGCAGAAAUCAAAUUCUUUUCCCAUUGUGCUAAGGAGCUUGCAAGAACCAAGAUGACAAAUUCUACAUUAAAGCAGCAAAAGAAAAAUCCUCCUCUACUCCCUUUUUGCAGAGAGCCAGAUGAGGGGCUUGAACUCUCGAACCGAACUCUCGACCGGCGAGAUCAUGACCUGAGCUGAAGUUGGACGCCUAAACCACUGAGCCACCCAGGUGCCCCUGGCCCCUGGACUUCUCCACCAUCCUGAUCCCGCUUCC